GAGGAAUAUUGGGCAAUGCCCGCAAGGGUGACCCAGCAACGCCGCGUGGAGGAUGAAUGUCGUAAGAUUGUAAACUCCUGUUAGAGGGGAAGAAUAGUACCGGUUGGACCGGUAUAUGACUGUACCCUCAGAGAAAGCCCCGGCUAACUACGUGCCAGCAGCCGCGGUAAUACGUAGGGGGCAAGCGUUGUCCGGAUUUACUGGGUGUAAAGGGCGCGCAGGCGGGAUAAAAAGUCAGUGGUGAAAUCCUACAGCUUAACUGUAGAACUGCCUUUGAUACUUUUAUUCUUGAGUUCGGGAGAGAGAGACGGAAUUCCAGGUGUAGUGGUGAAAUACGUAGAUAUCUGGAAGAACACCAGUUGCGAAGGCGGUCUCUUGGUCCGACACUGACGCUGAGGCGCGAAAGCGUGGGGAGCAAACA
This 421-nucleotide ribosomal RNA is filed under the name uncultured bacterium. RNAcentral's name for it is "bacterial SSU rRNA". It matches the Rfam family "Bacterial small subunit ribosomal RNA", at positions 356 to 774 of the family's 1533-position model. The record is from RNAcentral.